Long non-coding RNA from Spinacia oleracea (spinach), 1034 nucleotides. RefSeq lists it as uncharacterized. NCBI's taxonomy places the organism in Eukaryota, Viridiplantae, Streptophyta, Magnoliopsida, Caryophyllales, Amaranthaceae. The record is from RefSeq and is a predicted model, not a curated record. The transcript has 3 exons.
AUUUAAGGAGGCAUUAUUUCAUGAUUGCACACACCAAAGGCCCAAUGUUACAUGGCUAUAAAUAAAGGUUUUUGGUCUAGACCAUGUAUCACAUUCUUCAAUUGCAUGUUCUUUGCCGCAAACUAUCUUUAGGGUGAAGUGAGAAGAGAGAGAGAUCAUGAAGAAGAGAAAGAAGAAAGAAAAAAAAAACCGAAUUUGAUGUUCAUCGUUGCAUCAAAUUCUCUAUAUCAAAUCAGUAAAUUACCUGAAAAUUACUAUAUAGUACUCUAAAUUGCUUCUUCAUUGGAGUAAUUCCGAACUUCUCUAAACAGGCCGCAUGCUUAAACAGAAUUACCAUGCUUCGAGAUGGGCUUUCCACAAUACCAUAUAUUCGUUUGUGGAUAUCGUCUACAGUCUGGCUGACUAAGAGGUUAAACAUAUUUGCACUUGGAUAUAUGGUUGUGGAACUCUGAGAGAGCAUAGUCCGGCUGCGGCCGAAAUGGUACUAUAUUGGCGGAUGAAGUUCGGGUUUUACUCCAAUGAGUGGAGAUGCAAAAAAUUGAAUCACCAACUUAAACACCUUAAUGUUCCCCAAAACAACAAGGUUGCAUAAGGUUUGUUGGUGGUCAAGAAUCCAAUCAAGAGGAUUGAUUCUUUAUGAGUACUAAUAAAUUUAUUUUAUUUUUAUCCGCACAUUUAAGGUGUAUCAGGGUGUACUGGGCAUUCUUUCACUUUUUCCGAUCAAAGUAUGAGUAGAAAAUGUGAGAGAGGCCAUCGAUUGGCAUCAAAAUAUCCAACCUUGGGUAAACGGUGCACAGUGCAUGUCCUAAGAAUUUUAAAAAAUACAGUAUCCGGUUAGUGGACCUUGAUGUUAUCUUAAGUACUAGUGACUUUUGUGAGUAUUUAUUACUUCCUUCGUCCCUAAAUGUUUUUCCCGUUUCCUUUGAAGGUGUCUCAAAAUGAUCUUCUCAUUUCUUUUCUUUCUUUUCAUAUUUAAUCUCCUCUUUGUAAUCUGUAUGCUUGUAACCUUGUAAUUAAUUCUAUUGGUUUAUCAA